GACGAACGCUGGCGGCGUGCUUAACACAUGCAAGUCGAACGGUGAAGCGCCUUCCUUUUUGGUGGGUGUGGAUGAGUGGCGAACGGGUGAGUAACACGUGAGUAACCUGCCCCCUUCUUCUGGAUAACCGCAUGAAAGUGUGGCUAAUACGGGACAUUCUGGGUCUGUCGCAUGAUGGGUCUGGGAAAGAUAUUGUUUCGGUGGGGGAUGGGCUCGCGGCCUAUCAGCUUGUUGGUGGGGUGAUGGCCUACCAAGGCGGUGACGGGUAGCCGGCCUGAGAGGGUGGACGGUCACACUGGGACUGAGACACGGCCCAGACUCCUACGAGAGGCAGCAGUGGGGAAUAUUGCACAAUGGGCGCAAGCCUGAUGCAGCGACGCCGCGGGAGGGAUGGAGGCCUUCGGGUUGUGAACCUCUUUCGCCAGUGAAGCAGGCCUGCCUCGUUUGUGGGUGGGUUGACGGUAGCUGGAUAAGAAGCGCCGGCUAACUACGUG
Molecule: ribosomal RNA, 494 nt
Filed under: uncultured bacterium
Lineage: Bacteria
Description: partial 16S ribosomal RNA
Rfam family: Bacterial small subunit ribosomal RNA
Source: RNAcentral